AACGUCGAAUGAGGAACAUGAAUGGCAAACAAAAUACUUUAGCCCGGCGGGCGCGGACGGGCGGGGUAAUCAAGGCGCAGGUGGGGUGACCACCAACUGUCGAGACUGUCCUCGGCAUAAGUGUUGUUCGUUUUCUCGGGGCCAGCCUUGUGUGUGUCCCGGCCCCGCCCUCUCACUAUGGCAUGCUCCUCCCACUUUUUGGAUAUCGGGAGGACAUGGGAGGGGGAGAAGGCUAAGGAACAAGAAUAAGAAGUUGGAUCGGGUCGGGCGCAAUGGCAUAAGCGCUGCU
This is a non-coding RNA of Caenorhabditis elegans, 289 nucleotides long. The record is from Ensembl. Lineage: Eukaryota; Metazoa; Nematoda; Chromadorea; Rhabditida; Rhabditidae.